UUGGGCCGCUCCCACGGCAUAUGGAGGUUCCCAGGCUAGGGGUCUAAUCGGAGCUGUAGCCACUGGCCUAAGCCAGAGCCACAGCAACGCGGGAUCCGAGCCACGUCUGCAACCUACACCACAGCUCACGGCAAUGCCAGAUCAUUACCCCACUGAGCAAGGGCAGGGACCGAACCCGCAACCUCAUGAUUCCUAGUCGGAUUCGUUAACCACUGCGCCGUGACGGGAACUCCUGUACUUUUAUUUCUGUUAUUUAUCAGUAAUGAACCCAACUAGUAUCCAUAAGGAUGAGGAUUCGAUCCCCACCCUCAUGCAGGUGGGUUAAGGAUCCAGCAUUGCUGUGAGCUACAGUGUAGGUCACAGAUACAGCUCAGAUCUGGCAUUUCUGUGGCUGUGGUGUAGGCUGGCAGCUGCAGGUCCAAUUAGGCCCCUAGCCUGGGAACUUCCAUAUGCUGGGGGUAUGCCCCCCCCAAAAAAAAGAAGAAUGCACCCCUAUGUUCAUUGCAGCACUAUUCACAAUAGCCAAGACAUGGAAACAACUUAAAUGUCCAUGGACAGAUGAGUGCAUUAAGAAGAUGUGGUAUAUAUACACAAUGGAAUACGACUCAGCCAUUAAAAGAACAAAAUAAUGCUAUUUGCAGCAACGUGGAGGGAACUGGAGAUUCUCAUACAAAGUAAAGUAAGUCAGAAAGAGAAAGACAAAUACCACAUGAUAUCACUCAUAUGUGGACUCCAAACUAUGGCACAGAUGAACCGAUCUAUGGAACAGAAACGGACUCACAGACAUGGAGAAGAGAAGAGACUUGUGGCUGCCAAGGGAUGGAGCGGAAGUGGGAUGGACUGCGUGUUUGGGGUUAGCAGAUGCAAACUAUUACAUUUCGGAUGGAUAAACAACAAGGUCCUACUGUACAGCACAGGGAACUACAUCCAGUCUCCUGGGAUAGACCAUGGUGGAAAAGAAUAUUAAAAAAAGAACAUAGGAGUUCCCAUUGUGGCACAGCGGAAAUGAAUCUGACUAGGAACCAUGAGGUCGCCGGUUUGAUCUCUGGCCUCACUCAAGUGGGUUAAGGAUCCGGCAUUGCCGUGAGCUGUGGUGUAGGUCGCAGACGCGGCUUGAAUCCAGUGUUGCUGUGGCUGUGGUGUAGACCGGCAGCUACAGUUCCAAUUAGACCCCUAGCCUGGGAGCUUCCAUAUGCUGUGGAUGCGGCCCUAAAAAGACAAAAGACAGAAAAAGAAAAAAGUAUAUAUAUAUAUAUAUAACUGAGUCACUUUGCUGUACAGCAGAAAUUGGCACAACAUUGUAAAUCAAAUAUACUUUAAUAAAAUCGGUUCACAUGUUAAAACAUGCAUGUAUUUUGAAAGUGAACACUGUACUAUUAUUCCCUAUGCCCUUGUAUGUGUGAACAUUUUCAUACUAAAAAUAUUAAAGGACUAUGUCACCACCAGCUAUAUAUAGAAAGCCAAGUGCCAAAGUCAUUCUAAACUCCCAAU
This 1491-nucleotide long non-coding RNA is filed under the name Sus scrofa (pig). Its description in RNAcentral is "lncRNA (ENSSSCG00005005965.1)". Lineage: Eukaryota; Metazoa; Chordata; Mammalia; Artiodactyla; Suidae. The record is from RNAcentral.